UAGUGAGACUCUCGGAUCGGGUUUUGGGAACCGGCAACGGAUCCUUUUUCUGAGAAGUUUGUCAAACUUGGUCAUUUAGAGGAAGUAAAAGUCGUAACAAGGUUUCCGUAGGUGAACCUGCGGAAGGAUCAUUAGAAUAUUCGGGAAUUUUUCCCUAAAUAUCUUAUUCAAAAAAUUUCCAUCCUAUUAAAAUAUAAUUUUUUAAAUUUUAUUAAAAAAAUAAGACAACUUUCAACAACGGAUCUCUUGGCUCUUGCAUCGAUGAAGAACGCAGUGAAAUGCGAUACGUAAUGUGAAUUGCAGAAUUCCGUGAAUCAUCAAAUCUUUGAACGCAAAUUGCACUCCUUGGUAUUCCGAGGAGUAUGCUUGCUUGAGGGUCGAAUCAUAUUUAUCGUUUUAUAACGGAUCUGGGUUUUUCCAAGUUUUUUUAAACCUUGGUAACCUAAAAUUUAUCUUAAUAAUAUUUGUAAUAUUGAAAAUGUGUAUCUUACGUUCACGUGAGUUUAUUGACAAUCAUUAUGAAUUUAUUACGUCGUAUUAUUCACUCGAUUUUUUUAACGAUCGGGGCGAAUGAUACAAUUUUUUAAAUUCGACCUCAAGUCAAGUAAGAAUACCCGCUGAACUUAAGCAUAUCAAUAAGCGGAGGAAAAGAAACUAACAAGGAUUCCCUUAGUAACGGCGAGUGAACUGGGAAGAGCUCAAAUUUAAAAUCAUCAGGGUUUCCUUGAUGAGUUGUAAUUUGAAGAAAGUGUUUUGAUGUUCGGGUUUUAUCUAAAUCCUUUGGGAUAAGGUAUCAUAGAGGGUGAGAAUCCCGUUCGUGAUUAAACCUCGGAUGUCACUUAAUUCAUUUUCUAAGAGUCGAGUUGUUUGGGAUUGCAGCUCAAAAUGGGUGGUAAAUUUCACCUAAGGCUAAAUAUAUGCGAGAGACCGAUAGCGAACAAGUACCGUGAGGGAAAGAUGAAAAGAACUUUGAAAAGAGAGUUAAAUAGUACGUGAAAUUGUUGAAAGGGAAACGAUUGAAGUCAGUCAUGCUAGUGAGGAAUCAACUCGGUGGUUUUCUUCCGGGUGUACUUUCUCGCCUGGCAGGUUAGCAUCAAUUUCGUUCAUCAUUAAAUGAUCGGGGUAAUGUGGCUUCUCUCCGGAGUAGUGUUAUAGACCUUGGUAGAUGUGAUGAUCGGGAUUGAGGAUUGCAGCGAAUGCUAUUUGGCUAGUCCCCUGAUUUCUGAUGGUCACCUCGCCUUCGACAGCUUGCUGACGUGGGUGGGUUCUGAUUGUCUAGAUGUUAGAGUGAUCAUAUAUUCGCUAAGGAUGCUGACGUAAUGGCUUUAAACGACCCGUCUUGAAACACGGACC
Molecule: small RNA, 1353 nt
Filed under: Acaulospora koskei
Lineage: Eukaryota; Fungi; Glomeromycota; Glomeromycetes; Diversisporales; Acaulosporaceae
Description: eukaryotic LSU rRNA
Rfam family: Eukaryotic large subunit ribosomal RNA (bases 591-1353)
Source: RNAcentral